Molecule: long non-coding RNA, 1477 nt
Organism: Syngnathoides biaculeatus (alligator pipefish)
Lineage: Eukaryota; Metazoa; Chordata; Actinopteri; Syngnathiformes; Syngnathidae
Exons: 4
Source: RefSeq, a predicted model, not a curated record
AUUGCCCUUCACUUUGACAAAGCAAAAACUAUCAGAUCUUUGCAGUUCUAAGGCAAGGUGUUGAUUCAAUGUGUCUCUUGUGUUCUUCACCCAAGGAACCAAAGGAAAGGGCCGAACAGAUGGCAGGCCUCUGGCUUCAAAUUGUGAUUUAUGUAGACAGCAUAGGGUGGAUCGUUGCCUGGGAAUCUAGCUGCUUUCGAGCAUAAUCAAAGGAGUUAUGAUGACAGGAUGUGAUGCAGAACCAGGCAAAGGGCUUGCACUGAGGUGAUUAAUCAAUGCUGACAUCUGGAUGGAAAUGAGCAAAGUCAGAGGGCAUCAUCACAGCGUUAACAAUUAGCUAGCGGAGAGCAGCUAUUUAUUGUCAAACUGGCAGAAAGUAUUGCGUGAGGUGCUAAGUCAUGCCACAGUGUUCAUCUGGUAAGUAUGUCUUCCUCAUAGUUCUGAGAAUCCGGGCUCAAAUCUGGCCUCGCCUGUGUGGAGUUUACUUUUUGGCAUCAUGGUUUAGCUACUUAUGAUGGGGCAAACCUCCAGGGAAGAAAAGCGACGGUGACUUGUGAGAGGGCUGGGGGGAUCCAUAUCAUACGGCGCUGUUGUCUGGUGAACCAAGAUGCCAACACUCCUGGGGCGGCAGAGUUAGAUCCUUAUCCAGAGCCAACUAAAAUGUUCCACAAACUCAUGAGCGAGGCAAUUAACAGGAGCCCCUGUGGAUAGACUGUUCCUCUCACACUGCUUACCUUCACCUUCCUCCAUUCUUUGCUUCUUCAUUACUUGUUCUCCUGACCACUUAAAAUUCAGUCAGCAAAAAUUAGUGGCAAACCUUUUAGCAAAAAUAUAUCUGUGAAUUUGUAUUAACCAGAAUAAAGAAUAUGUAUCUGCAUGAAAACGUCACACCCUGAAAAUUGCUAAAUGCUAAAAAUUGUGUUCGUAGCGAUACUGCUCUUAAAUGAUGAGAGACGUAUACUGAGCUGGUUGACAAAUAUUUCAGCUCUUUGAAAUAGGCUAUGGUCUAAUGAGAAUAGAAAAUGAAUGAAAGAAUAUUGUACUCUUUUUAAUACUCAAAUAUUCCUGCUGGAUGAUCAAAUACAUGAUAAAACCCACAUUUUCAGAACACUAAUCUUAAUAAAUAUCCCUAGUUCUACUUUAAAAUAGAUAUUGCCUCAUGUACCCUAUACAAUAAGGUAAAGUACGCCUCUUGCUAGCUGUUGUAUGUAAACAAAUGAACAAGCACAUUGUGUGCAUGCAAAUAUGGAUUGUUUACAGAUUGUAAUAAAGGUAGCAAAUGUUAUUUACAAAAUGUGUGAAUGUAAUGCACAUGAUUGUACUCUAUAUCAUCCCACAUGCUAUUUCGCUAAAGUAUAUUUUAGUCCAGACAUGACUUUUUGGUACAGAUACUGUUAUAGUUUUUUGUGUUGUAAGCGUUUAUAGAUCAGUACCAUUUGGCUGAGGACCACUCUUCAAGCAAUGGAUGUACUGUACA